This 465-nucleotide ribosomal RNA is filed under the name Vreelandella stevensii. RNAcentral describes it as "partial 16S ribosomal RNA". It matches the Rfam family "Bacterial small subunit ribosomal RNA", at positions 338 to 795 of the family's 1533-position model. The record is from RNAcentral. Lineage: Bacteria; Pseudomonadati; Pseudomonadota; Gammaproteobacteria; Oceanospirillales; Halomonadaceae.
CCUACGGGCGGCAGCAGUGGGGAAUAUUGGACAAUGGGCGAAAGCCUGAUCCAGCCAUGCCGCGUGUGUGAAGAAGGCCUUCGGGUUGUAAAGCACUUUCAGUGGGGAAGAAAGCCUUGGGGCUAAUACCCUCGAGGAAGGACAUCACCCGCAGAAGAAGCACCGGCUAACUCCGUGCCAGCAGCCGCGGUAAUACGGAGGGUGCGAGCGUUAAUCGGAAUUACUGGGCGUAAAGCGCGCGUAGGCGGUCUGAUAAGCCGGUUGUGAAAGCCCCGGGCUCAACCUGGGAACGGCAUCCGGAACUGUCAGGCUAGAGUGCAGGAGAGGAAGGUAGAAUUCCCGGUGUAGCGGUGAAAUGCGUAGAGAUCGGGAGGAAUACCAGUGGCGAAGGCGGCCUUCUGGACUGACACUGACGCUGAGGUGCGAAAGCGUGGGUAGCAAACAGGAUUAGAUACCCCAGUAGUC